Molecule: long non-coding RNA, 2502 nt
Filed under: Ananas comosus (pineapple)
Lineage: Eukaryota; Viridiplantae; Streptophyta; Magnoliopsida; Poales; Bromeliaceae
Description: long non-coding RNA (ACOM_LNC036014)
Source: RNAcentral
CUACUAUGCUAUCGGAAGCACGGAGCCUUCCGUGCUUCCAGCUCGUUUUCGAUGUUGCGACUUUCGAAUCGUCGAUCGGCUCCGUUAAACUUGAUCUAGAGUAUUUGAAGUACCUAGAAAAUAAAUUUUAUGAUUUUACGAUAUCAUUUGCCUAGUGAUCGAAUGAACUCAAAAUCAACAAAUUUCAAUGACCGUAGUGAGCCGUUUGUAAGUUUAACGGUGUAGAAAUAUCCAAAUCACGUGAAAUUUUGAUAAAAAAUUCUUUAUACUAUAUAAAACAAGAUCAAUAUCUUUGAUUUAAAAUUUUAAUAUCAUAUUAUUACAUUUUGUAAGAUUUUUAUUUUCAGCCGUUGAUUUUGAGCCUCUUCGUUCACUAGGCAAAUGAAAUCGUAAAAUCAUAAAAUUUAUUUUCUAGGUACUUCAAAUACUCUAGAUCAAGUUUAACGGAGCCGAUCGACGAUUCGAAAGUCGCAACAUCGAAAACGAGCUGGAAGUAUGGAAGGCUCCGUGCUUCCGAUAGCAUAGUAGCUGUUGGAACAAAGAUCGCAUAGGAAUCUAAUUGUGAUUAAAAUCUAACUAAUUUUGUGAUAACAAUAAAUAAAUCAAACUUACAGAUGACGCAAAUAUUCCAAUAAAGAUAUGAUCUUAUCCGGAAGCGUGCGAGGCACUGCCCUAAGGCGUAUUCCCGUCCUUACGUGAGAGAUUAAUCGGAAAUAACACCCCAAGGUACGACCGGAAUUCCUCAUUCUGCGAGCACGAUCGUGAAGGAGGUUGAUGGAGAUUCUCAACACCCAGUAGAUAAGAAGAAUAUUCAAAUAGUAAAAGAUAAGAGAUGAAUAGAUAAAGAUUAACAAAAUUAUCUAAAUCUCAUUUUUCAAUGAGAAGGAAAAAAAGGAGAUCAAAGUAUCGAAGAAAAAGAAAGAGAAUUCACGCUCUUUUUCUUAUGAGAAAGAAGCGGAACCGCACAACGGAACGAGUUCCUUUUGGCGCAAGAAACGGAAUGGAAAUAUUCCGUUAGUUCCUUUCUCACUAAGAAAUUAAAUAAAUAAAUAAAUAAAUAAAUAAGAUAAUAAAUAUCAAUGAAUAUUAAAUGAUAAUUCAAAAUUCAAAUAGAAUAAAAUUCAAACUUUAAAUUUUUGAGUUUUCACCAACAAUCCCCCACAAAACUCAAAAAUUUUAAAAUUACAAAUUAAAAUCAAAUUUACUGGGUGUUUUAUACUAUGCAAUGGGUGAGGUAUCUUUAAGAGACUUAACCCCACUUAGUGUAAGUGAUUUCCAUCAGAAGGAAUCGGAGUGAACCAGGUCUUGAACUACGUUCCUUUGACCCUGACUUCAACCACCACAUACACAGUAUAGAAUUCUCCGUCGCGGGUCUGUGCGUUAAUGGCCAUGCACAGUACCUUGAUUUUUCAUAAGAGUUUCUAUGGAUAGCCCAUAUCACAUAGCCGUGGCCACAUACGGAUACUCUUAUAUAGGUGGUUUCCUCCAAAGAUGUGUGUAGAGUCACAUCUCGCGAAAAUUAUCGCCUUAGAUCCCAUUAAGAGCUCUCAGCUCAACCUAAUCCACUACGCAGAGCACUACUCACCAUAGGGAUGGAAUUGGAGCUAAAGCUCCUCUGUAAAAUUUGUAGAAAGUGCUCUUGGCCAACCUAACAGCUUGUUUUUACGACAUUGAACCUUCUUCAAGGGAUCUCCUAUCACAAAGGUUGGGUUCCCACUGCAGGAAGGCCCUUUACGGGCAAAGUCCCAUCCCCCUCGAUGACUGCAGGACCAUAGUCCUCUUUGGGCCUUCAAUAUGGUAAUCUGCAAGAUUCUAGUCAAAUCUGACAAAACUCAAAUAAAUAAUAUGAUAGAUAAUUAACCAUCUAACAGAUUUCUAUCUCAAUAUAAUAUAAAUGUUUAACUUUAGAAUUUAUAAAUUUUAUUUACAAGUUAAACACAAUGAUAGACAAAAUGAAAACAUGAGAGCAAUUAUAAUAUCAAAAUUUAUCAAACUGCUAAAAGAUCUUCCCCUACAAUUUCAGAGAUAUACUAAAAUUUUAAAAUCAUGAAAUUUAAUCAUGUUGAAUAGAGUUUGAUUCAACAGCAAAAGAUGGACCAAACAAUUUUUUUUUAAAAAAAAAAAUUGAUUUCAAUUAGGUAAUUUCGAGCAAAUAACAUAUGCAAUCAAAUAAUAUCUAUGCAGCAAAUAGAUUUUAAAAAUUGCUGAAAUAAUAGGAAAAAUAAAAUUUAGAAAUAGUGUUGCAGGUUAGAUACGUGAAAUCAAAUCUCCCUUGGAACAAAAUAUUUUUCCUUCACCUUUUUUUUUUCCGAAAAAUAGUAUAUCUAUAUCUCUAAAAUUAAGUUUUAAUAUAUCAUUAAAAAUAAGUUUUAAUAAAUCUCAACAGUGGAAAAGAAAGUACUGUAGCAAUUUUUUUUUUUAAAAAAAAUUUAUUUACUGCGGCAAAUAUUUUUUAUUAAAAUCCGUACAAGUAGCAUAAAAAUUAUUGUAGUUAUAUAUAUA